This is a long non-coding RNA of Heterocephalus glaber (naked mole-rat), 3818 nucleotides long. NCBI's taxonomy places the organism in Eukaryota, Metazoa, Chordata, Mammalia, Rodentia, Bathyergidae. The record is from Ensembl.
GUUUUCUGUAUCGUGUACCAGGGACUUGUAAAUAAAAUGCCUUUUCUACUGUAAACGAUUACAGGUGUUGCUUGUGUUGAACGUGAAGGAAGCCUCAGCAGGGGCCGAGUCCGAGUGAGCGGCGCUGGCUUUCACCCCGGCUGAGUUCGAGUUCGCAGGACUGCUCCCCACGCCUAAGCGAGGAGAUUCGUCCCCUCCAGGAAUGCAGCGCCCGCUUCCCUCUCACUAGAGCUGAACCAGCGUGCGCGGAAGUGAAAAGGCAAAGGCCCCAAGGGCUGUGAGUUUCCCUUCCUGCUCCGCGCUCGCGCUUCCGGCCGCUGCCCUCAGCGGACGGGUCCUGCCCACCCUCCCCAGCUGCGGGGCGCGGCCCAGUGAGCCUUCCCCGAGUUCUCGCCCGAGAAGCGAGAAGCGGCCGCUGCCUUGGCGAUCGGAAGGCGGGGCCCGCUCAGCACCGUCCAGAACUCGCCUGGGCUCUGGCAGGCGGGGGGCGAGGCCGAGACUUGGCUGGGCUGUCCCUUCCGCCGGCCUCGGCUGGCAGCUCUUCCGGCGGCGGGCGAGGCAAGCGAGCUGCUGCUUCCUCUCACCGCCUUCCCACGCCCGCUCGCACCAGCAUCUCGCGGAUGGCGGAGGCCCGGCAGGAGAGGCUGUGGCAGGUUUAACUGGGCUCUGCAGCCCCCACCUCGCCGGUGCACGGCUUCCCCAGCGCAGGUCUGGGAUGGGGAAGGAAGGGAUCUAAAUGGCAGAUGCAGAGCUCACCAGGAGCUUUAAUCUGAGAAGAUCGUAGCACUUAAUGGGAUCGGUGGACAUUGCUGGAUUAUGAUUUUUUUUUUUUUUUUGGUACCGGGGGAUGGAACUCGGGUCCUUGCGCUUGCGCAGCAGGCGAUGAAACCACUGAGCGAAAUCCCCGGCCCUGGACUAUGAUUUUAACACUGGGAGAUCAAAUAAGCUUAAAAUCUGUUUGCCUCCUGAGUGCUGCGAUCACAGGUGUGGGCCACCACACCCAGCUAGUCUCUUUUCUGACACCGGAACGACCUUCGUACUUCAGCACAGGGGACUGCUGGAGGACUCAGACACCAGAGUUAGAGCUCCCGGGGUUCUGUCGCGCUGCGAGUCGGGUCACGGUGGUCACCACUGAGCUCGGAGGCCAGGACAUGCUGACUCUGGAAAACACAAUCGCCUUGGCCACCUCCCUUCCAGCUUCCUUCUAGUGUGCUGAGCACCAAGGCGUCAGUGAUUACUGCUCACCUCGGGGAUGAAAGCACAGGAAGCAGAAUCCGUAGCAGCCGCUGUGGAUGCCGGGACAAACGGAAGUGGGCCCCAUCCCAGCCACUGGCCCUCGGGCUCACUGCUAGUGAGACACGAGCCACUCAGAGGGAGAACCGAGUCAGCCAUAGGAAAAGCCAGAUGUGUCCGAGCACACACAGCUUAAACGUACGAGAUAGCAGCAUGUGUUUGUUUCUGAACAUGAGGUCGCACUGUCCACUAGUAAGUCAUGUCCCGCAGAUGCCAGGUGCUAGGAUUAUCCAUGCCUCCCCUAACCGAGGAGACAGACUAAGAAGUGCAGGGCUCUCUCCUAAUUUCCCUAUUUAUCCCGGGGAAGGGAUGAGCAGCUAGGUGUAAUAAUUACCACCCAGAACCACAAAACCCGGCAGACAGUCGUGGGCAGCGGUCUGGUCCCAAGUUAUUCUGCCACCAGUUGCAAUUUGACGCCCCCUGGUGGGCUUGUCUGUCCAGCUUAAUUAAAUCAGGAUGGGCUUCUGGGUCCAUGCAGGGAAUCUCCCCAUGCGCUGGCAUCUGUCCGUGAGCCGCUGGAGAUGGCCCAAGGUCACCUUCUUCCUCCCUGCCCCUUAGGCUGGCAGUUGGCUGCUGGCUCCGUCUGACCCUUGCCAGCACCUAAAUCAAGACGACAGCCUUAGCUUGCCCUGUUCCGGGAGGAAGGGGAAUGGAUUCAGUGUUUCCAGGUCUGUUCAGUGAUUUAAACCUUGGGCGGGGAUUUAGCUCAGUGGUUCCGCGCCUGCCUUGUAAGUGAGUUGAACCUUCUGGGUGGAGUAUCAGGGCGUCGGGAGAGACAGCUUAGCUGUGCUGAGUGAGUGCCCAGCGCGUGGACAGUGACCACCUUGGCAGAGAUGGAAACCUGUGCUGGGCUUUGUGUGGCCCUGGUCGGCGUGGACACACUCAGGACUACCACACACCGUCCAUGUUUCUGCACUGGUGACCACAAAGGCGCCAUUACAGGGGCCCGCGAAGCUGUGCGCCCUGAGCGUCAGCAGAGCUCAGUCAGGAGGCCGCGUCGGCUGCUUUCCUCUGGGCUCCGGAUCCCGCCCGUUCCUGUCAGCUCUGUGCAGUACUCAGACCCUGUGUGAGCGCGGUCCAGCUACCAGAGUCGGGCGGAGGCUGCAGCCAGCUCCGCAAGCCGCCAGCCAGGGUGAGCUCGUGGGUCCUGAGCUGACAGCUCCUGGCCCUGGCACAUCGUCCUGUCUCUCCCACUGCUGUCUUUCCUCGGGGGACCUGUGUGGCACAGCAGUGGCUGAAACAUCACAAGAUCUUUGUCUCUGUUGAUGAACUGUACAUUGCAUAACCUUCUGUCUCUUCUUUAAAAACGUGUCAGGAAACAGCACAUACCAGAGUGUGGGAGAUGGAAUGGGGCUGCAGCGGGGCUCCGUGGCACAGCGCUGGCCUCACCAUGCCUGGGCCCUGGCCUCCAUCCCCAGAGCUCAGAAAAGAGCACACAUGAGCAGCCUUUAGCUUAAGAAACAGAACAUUCCCAGGCGCCCGCACCCCUGCUCGUCUGACCCCAUCCAUGCCGUAGGAGUGUCUCCAUUUUAACCAGUGAUGUGCCACGAUACUGAUACAUAAAACCCACAGGAACAAUGGCUUUUGAGUGCCUCAGCAAUUUUUAAGAAUGUAAAGAGAUUCGGAGACCGAAAGCUUGAGAACCACUACUAUAAGAAGCUGGUUUUAGGGCCAGGGAUUUAGCUCAGUGGUUUCGACGCCUGCUGCGCAAGUGCAAGGACCCGAGUUUGAUCUCCGGUACCAAAAAAAAAAAAAGUGAGUUUUACUUGGUAAUGCCAACGUGUUUGCUAAAGUGCUUGUACCAGUUCCCACCCUGGUGGCAAUGGCUCAGAGUUCCCCAUGCCCCGUAUCUAGCACACACUUGCGCUUAGCUGUCUUUGACAUUUGCCAAUCAAAGCUAGGUGUGGUGGCACACACCUGUAAUCUCAACACUCAGGAGGCUGAGGCGGGAGGAUCGCCCUAAGUUUGAGCCCAGCCUGGGCUACACGGUGAGUUCAAGGCCAGCGUGAACUACAUAGCAAGACAGUGUCUCAAAAAACAAAACAAAACCUUUUGCCAAUUGGAUGGCUGUUAUAUAGUUUGCAGUUCCCUGUUUACGAGUGAAGUUGGUUUUUCACAUGAGCCCUCUUUUGUGAAAUUCCUAUUUAUGUGUCAUGCUCUUUUCCCCGUUAAGUUUUAUGUUUCUUUUUUCCUUAUUCAUUCAUGAUUUCUUUAUAUAUUCUGGAUAUCAGUCCUGUGUCAGCAUAACAUCUCACCCAUAUUUCCUCCCAGUUUAUGUGUUGUCUUUUGUACUUGUAUUGAAUACAUGAAUCAACUUGGAGAAACUUUACAUCUUUUCAGUAAUUGUGUCUUCCCGUGAAAAAGAGUAUGUAUCCCUCCGUUUACUAGCUCUUCUUAAUAUCUCUCAAUAAACAAUAAUUUUCUCUACAAAGGCUUUGAUGUCUUAUCUUAGAUUUCUUCACAGGAGUUGUGUAUUCUUAAUGCAAUCACCUAUUGAAUUUUUAAAAUUACAUUUCCUAUUCUGA